UUAAAGGGAGGAGCAUGAGGAACUCAGAGUCCUGUUACUGAAUCAUGCAGAUUUGGGAGUGAAGGAGCAACCCAAACCCGAUCCACUGUCACUUUCUCUUUGCAGAUUUCUUCACUCUUCUAAAGGACGCACACUUUGUUCGCCUUAUUGCGCAGGGCCUCACUCUCAGGACGAAGCAUGGAUGAUGAUUUUGAACGGCGCAGGGAGCUCAGGAGACAGAAACGGGAGGAGAUGCGUCUCGAAGCAGAGAGGAUGGCAUAUCGUCGGAGCGAGGAGGACGAAGAAGAGGUGGCUCGUGAGCGCCGGCGAAGAGCACGACAGGAAACAAUGCGCAGUAAGGAGAGCGAGGAGCCGCCCUACCAACCUGACAGCACAGAGCUCAACAACAGCCACAGCGUGACAGUGACAGAGAGCAUCUCAUCCUCAGUGGUUUGCUCCAGCAGAGCAGGCGAGGGAGAUGAUGAAGAACAAGCCCUCUUGGAGCGUCUGGCAAAGAGAGAGGAACGCCGACAGAGGAGGAUGAAGGAGGCGCUGGACCGACAGAGAGAGGAGGAGACCAGCCACACCUCCCACCACAGCCUGGAGGACACCAGCAUCGGCCUGCUGCGCGGUAGGAGCUACGAGGCGGAGGAGGAGCACAACAGCAAGGAGGAGGAGAAAGAGGAGGUGAAACAGGUUGAGGAGGAGGAGGAGGAGGAGGCCCUUCAGAGGGAAGAGAGAGAGGAGGAGGUGGUGGAGGAAAAGCCACGGAGGUCUUACUGGGGAGAACAGGAGUCCGUCGAGGCCAUUUCUAAAAUACAAGAUGAGGACAAUAGUGAGCAGGACUGUGUGCCUUCUCCUGAAGUAAAUGAGGUGAUUUUAAAUGAAGACGUAGAUGGUUUUGCAGUUGUAUCAGAGAUGGAAGCGGAAGCAUUGACCGAGAGUGGAUUGGAUGAAAUGAGGGAGGCAGAAAACUGUGAGAAAAAGGAGGCAGAGAAAUUGAUGACAUUGAUGAAGUUUUCAGAAAUUGAUGAGGCUUUGAUUGAAGAUGAAGAUGUGAUGAGGAAGAAUAAACAGCCAAAUGGAGGAGUGUGUGAUGACAGCCCUACCAAACACAAGAAAGUCGAGAGGACUUACAGUCGAGGCAGCCUGUGUACUCCUGAGGCACCAGAGGCAGAUGGUGAAGAUGCCCGCUUGGAGGCAGAGAGAAAGCUGGAAGAGCUGAAGAGACGAAGGGAUGAGAUGGAGAGUGAGGAGUUUGAGAGGAUGAGGCAGAAGCAACAGGAGGCAGAGGCAGAGCUGGAGGAGUUGAGGAAGAAGAGGGAGGAGAGGAGGAAGGUGCUGGAAGAGGAGGAACAACUGAGGAAACAGGAGGAGGCCGAGAGGAAAGCCAGAGAGGAGGAGGAAAAGAGGAGAAUGAAGGAGGAGAUUGAGAAGAGGAGAGCAGAGGCCGCCGAGAAAAGGCAGAAGGUUGAGGAGUCAGUGGACGGAGAGGCCAGGAAGCCCUUUAAGUGUGUCAGUCCCAGGGGAUCAUCCCUGAAGAUCGGUGAAAGAGCAGAAUUUCUCAACAGGUCGGCGCAGAGAAGUUCUGUAAAGGCAUCUCACACUCCUGUGGUGUCUAAGAUUGAUAACCGAUUAGAGCAGUACACCACCGCAGUGCAGGGCCAAAAGGAGGUUAGAUCUCCCCGAUCGGCUGCCAUAGAUCUUCCCAUGGUGACGGACGGUAUUCGUAACAUCAAGAGCAUGUGGGAGAAGGGGAAUGUCUUCAGCUCUGGUGGGAGUCCGGCGUCUACCAACAAGGAUGCAGCUGGAAUAAAGGUGGGCGUGGCUGGCCGCAUCAAUGAUUGGUUGAAUAAAACUCCAGAGUCCGGCAAAAUGUCAGGAGGAAGACCCGUGGACCUGAAACCGGGCGAUGUGACCAGCAAACGUAGUCUAUGGGAAAACAAAGGUUCAUCUGCUACCAAGCUGUCCCCUUGCUAAUUGUCGACAGAUCUGACUACCUUGAGGAGGUGACAAACAGAGGAGAGACCAAAUCUGUCACCAAUGGAAUGGGCCAUUAACCUUUCAAAGAAGCCACAGAGGCAGGGACCAAGAGAAUGCACAACAUUCCUUUUUUAAACUUUUAUUAAUACCAAAAAAAUACAAGCAUUUUAUACUGUCCAGGAAGACCUAUGUGAGUAGUUACAGAAUAAAAAUAUACUUGAUAUAUGUUAUCACUGUACUCACAGGACACCAUCUUGCAUCAUUAAUGUAGUGCUUUUGCAUGGAACUUCCUUUAGCCUGAAAUCUAGGCUGUGAAAAUUGGACAUACGCGAUCCAGCUUUAAUUUGUUUAGAUUAACAUAAAAGCAGCCGAUUCAGAACAUUCCAACAUUCUUUAAAUAGGAGGACGAGGAGUCGCAUUCCGAAUUGUCUCUUUGUAAAAAAUCACGAGUCAUUUUAAAUAUGUCAAAAAGGUUUCACCAGUCUGUUAGUCACCCUUUUCACCUUUUAAUUUAUAAUUAAAGCAAAGCUUCAUGUCGCAAUUUCAUGCUCGCUGAUUCCAAACAAAAUAUGAGCACCCGUAGAAUAGCUGAAUUUUGUACUUGUUGUCGUAAUGACACUUUUUUUAAAUUGUCUUAAUAAUAUAUGUUAGCACAUAGUGUAAGUUUUUGUAAUUAACUAUAUAUUGUACCGCUUGAUACGAGACAUUUUUGCUUUUGCUCUCAAUAUUGUUUUAUAUCAAAACAAUAGUUUAAAAGCACCAGAAAGCCAUUGUUGUCUUACCGUUAUCAUUAUUGCAUUGUUUUUGGCUAAUUUACUCUUAGAUACACUAGUCCUAAAUUGUUUGUGACCACCUUUCAAUAAGUGUUAAUCACUAUGUGUCAUGUGGAAUAAUCUGUAUUGGUUAUAAUAGACAGUAAAACUGUUUCUCUGAAGUCUGAUCAAAGGGAACAUGCACUUUUAGAUUUAAAUAAUAUAUUCGGUCCAUACUUUUCACAAACAGUCAUCGAAAACUUGUGUGACUAAUCCAAAAACACAGCCUGAUUUCAUGUCAAACCCCAACACUGAAAUUUAUACCUUUGACUUCAAUACAGUGCUAGUUGGCAAAAAAGUCAUUUGUUGAACCGUCUGGCAAAUGUUGUCAUUUAUACGUUAAAAUACAUAUAUCAUUUUUUUGACAAAUUUGUCAGACAGAGAAUAUCCAUUUCACUUUGUUUCUAAAUGUUCAAAGAUUCUGUAUUCUGCUUGUGUUUUCGACAAUCAAGUUUGUACUUUUUUUUUCAUCUUUAUAAACACUUAUGUAUCAUUUCAGAGUAACACUAUGCAAGUCGCACCACCUUUAAUUGCAGUUACCUUGUUAAUAGUAUGACCAUUUGUAGCCAAUAGUUUCAUACAGAACAUACGUUUCAUUUUACCACAAUAAAGAGGACAAUGAAAAACCA
Molecule: RNA transcript, 3403 nt
Organism: Myxocyprinus asiaticus (Chinese sucker)
Lineage: Eukaryota; Metazoa; Chordata; Actinopteri; Cypriniformes; Catostomidae
Gene: cald1a
Gene name: caldesmon 1a
Exons: 17
Source: RefSeq, a predicted model, not a curated record